Mastomys coucha (southern multimammate mouse) is the source of this 291-nucleotide long non-coding RNA. RefSeq lists it as uncharacterized. NCBI's taxonomy places the organism in Eukaryota, Metazoa, Chordata, Mammalia, Rodentia, Muridae. The transcript has 2 exons. The record is from RefSeq and is a predicted model, not a curated record.
CCGGGCUGAGCUUGGCCCGAGCGGCUUACAGGGCACGUGGCCUAGGGAUGGGUCCUUGAGCCCAGCCAGAAACUUGAAAGCGGUGUUUGUGAGUUACCUGCAGACUACGAAACCAGUGUCCUGCAUUUAGCUAGGUGUCGCAACGCCUCAGAAUUGAGUCAGCCCGGCUUUCUUACGCGGCGCAAGCUCCUGGGUUUGUUAAUUAGUCGAUACCUUCUGGAGUAUCCAGAGACCACCAGUGUUAAAACCUGGUUUUUGUGUUGAAAUAAAACAAGUGCCUAAUAUACUACA